This 474-nucleotide ribosomal RNA is filed under the name uncultured bacterium. RNAcentral's name for it is "bacterial SSU rRNA". It matches the Rfam family "Bacterial small subunit ribosomal RNA", at positions 335 to 799 of the family's 1533-position model. The record is from RNAcentral.
ACUCCUACGGGAGGCAGCAGUGGGGAAUAUUGCACAAUGGGGGAAACCCUGAUGCAGCCAUGCCGCGUGUGUGAAGAAGGGCCUUCGGGUUGUAAAGCACUUUCAGUAGGGAGGAAGGUAGUGUAGUUAACACCUGCAUUAUUUGACGUUACCUACAGAAGAAGCACCGGCUAACUCCGUGCCAGCAGCCGCGGUAAUACGGAGGGUGCGAGCGUUAAUCGGAAUUACUGGGCGUAAAGCGCAUGCAGGUGGUUUGUUAAGUCAGAUGUGAAAGCCCGGGGCUCAACCUCGGAAUUGCAUUUGAAACUGGCAGACUAGAGUACUGUAGAGGGGGGUAGAAUUUCAGGUGUAGCGGUGAAAUGCGUAGAGAUCUGAAGGAAUACCGGUGGCGAAGGCGGCCCCCUGGACAGAUACUGACACUCAGAUGCGAAAGCGUGGGGAGCAAACAGGAUUAGAUACCCUGGUAGGAUAGCG